GUGGGGAAUAUUGGACAAUGGGCGCAAGCCUGAUCCAGCCAUGCCGCGUGAGUGAUGAAGGCCUUAGGGUUGUAAAGCUCUUUCAGUAGGGAAGAUAAUGACGGUACCUACAGAAGAAACCCCGGCUAACUCCGUGCCAGCAGCCGCGGUAAUACGGAGGGGGUUAGCGUUGUUCGGAAUUACUGGGCGUAAAGCGCGCGUAGGCGGAUUGGAAAGUUGGGGGUGAAAUCCCGGGGCUCAACCCUGGAAUGGCCUUCAAAACUCCCAGUCUUGAGGUCGAGAGAGGUGAGUGGAAUUCCGAGUGUAGAGGUGAAAUUCGUAGAUAUUCGGAGGAACACCAGUGGCGAAGGCGGCUCACUGGCUCGAUACUGACGCUGAGGUGCGAAAGCGUGGGGAGCAAACAGGAUUAGAUACCCUAGUAGUCC
RNAcentral lists this ribosomal RNA (425 nucleotides) under uncultured bacterium. RNAcentral's name for it is "partial 16S ribosomal RNA". It matches the Rfam family "Bacterial small subunit ribosomal RNA", at positions 354 to 796 of the family's 1533-position model. The record is from RNAcentral.